Long non-coding RNA from Hemicordylus capensis (graceful crag lizard), 2429 nucleotides. RefSeq lists it as uncharacterized. The transcript is spliced from 8 exons. The record is from RefSeq and is a predicted model, not a curated record. Lineage: Eukaryota; Metazoa; Chordata; Lepidosauria; Squamata; Cordylidae.
GUGGGGAGAGAAAGCGGCGGAGCCUGGCUGGGCAGAGACACAGAAACGGCUGGCUGCUUCGGAAGACGCUCACUAGAGGAAGGGCCAUGCAGGAAGGAGCCGGCUGAACGCUUGGCUGCCCAAGGAGGUGGCGGCAACGGCCAGCGGGGAAAACACAAGCAGCCUAGAAAGCGGCAGGGCUUGCUUCUUAAGUGUAUCUUCUGCCAUGGUGAAGAGAGCAAGGAAAGAAGCAUACAAGCCUCAGCUUGCUCCCAGUUCUGCCCCAGCAUUGAAUCCUGGCAUAGCAGAUCCUGUGGUAGAUCAAGAAUGGUGCCUUUCAGGAAGGCUGAUAUUUUUCCAUAACCAUGAACUACUUUAUCCUCAAACUGGUAUGCUUACAACAAAUUCAAGCCCAGUUUAAAUACAAUGACAAUCACAUAAAGAAGACUUGCCAGGCCACAAUUCCCGGAGCUCAGCAUCACAUUUAAACCAGGACACCAACCAGGGCAGGAGACAGUUCGUCAGAUCUGGACAGUUCUCAGCACUCCAAUUAGCUGGCUAGCUAGAAAAUUGGAAAAGGAAGAGGAAGUAGAUCAGUUCCAAAGGGCCCUCAGCAAAGUGACUCUUGUGCACCCCUUCCUGCCUGGAUGAGCUCCCCAUCAGAAGCACCCAAGGUGACUCACAAUCAACUGACUGGGACUCUGAUGGCAGCAGAACACUCAAGAGAGCCUCACUCUCACUUGACAAUCUUGAGAUGCCAGCAAGGAUACCAAGAAAAGAUACCACAUCCAAUGGGAGAGUAAGGAGCUGGGCUGAGACAUACAGAACAGAAAUCACAGGAGUGGCAACACCCUCUGUUAAUCACUCAACACCUCUCAAUAAGCACCUGGUCGCAUGAAGUUGGUGCUGCAACUGCUCUCCAUUAUUCAUGUUCAUCCUGUUUCAAUAAGCCCCAAGGCAGCCAUCCAGCGGCCCUAGAGACAAGAGACGUUCCUUACCCCUGCAUUGUAUGGACUUCACUAACGGGCUCUUGGGAAAUGGCAAGCCCACGCAUACUAGUAUCCGUCCUGGUUAAAACAGCAGCCUUUUUGAGAACGGAAAGAGAUGAAAAGGCUACACUUUUUAAAGGCUUCACCUGGUGUUGAAACAGCAUGCUAUCUGACCUGGUGCGGAGUCGGGGCCUCACAACUGAAAAGGGUCACAGCUCCUAAGUCACCACCCACCUCACUUCUGAAGGAGAGAAGGCAAUUUGCACAUGCUCAGAGGCAUUCUCGUCAGCCUGGCUCCCAAGGAGAAAAUGUCUACCAGAGGAGAAAAUGUCAGACAAAAGUGCCUCUAUAUGAUAUCUAUGAAAAUAAGUACCAGGGCUAAGUAAUCCCUGGCUGAAAUUAAGCUACUCUGUCUUGUCAAACUAUGGGGGCAUUCACAUGACUGACAGGGCCGGCAAGCAGACAGGCAGGGGGAAGGCUUCCCAAACCUUGCCUUCCCCCGAGAUGACCCUUCCCUGCUUGGUGGGAGCACCCUCUGUCAUCCCACAUGAUCAGCCUUCUGCAGCGCGGAGCAGGGCAGAUCGCUCUGAGGCUGGAACUCAUUGUCCCAGCCUUCAAGAAUCCCACAUUGCACCGCGCACUGAGUGCAGUGCACUGGGGGAUUCCCCCAGGGUCAAACACACGAUCCUGGGGCUGAGGUUAAGGGAGCAUUUGCACCCUUAACCUCAGCUAUGAGCCGGGCUGCAGCGGUUUAGCACCGCAGCACCAAGUUCCACACGGAUCCCGGCAGCUCUCACAGGCAGCCAAACCCAGGCUUGGCUGCCUGGGCUUGGCUGCUCGUGAGAACAGCCUCAACGUGUCUGUAGCAAUUAUUAUUGUUGUUGUUGUUAAUUCGAUUUCUAGCUGUAAGUUUGGACUGCUCCCCUUUCCCCCUUAAUUGGGCACACAUCUCUACUAUACAAAGUUUGAUUGAGUCCUAAGCAUGAGUUGGAAGGGAUGACAUUUUGAGACUGGCAUUUUGAUUUUCAGCAGUCAUUCAAGUUUAAUUAUAAGUAAUGCACAAGAAAAACUGAUUUAACCUUCCGACAGCCAAACCCAUAUGAUGAGGAAUUUAGAUAAAAGAGAGGGUUGGUGAAGAGCACAAUGAAUUAAGGAUUUCCAGAAUACUGGCACAUCCCUCUUCUAAAUCCAUCAAAAAGCCACAAGAGUUCUAUAAAAGCACACAUCAAGGGCUUAUAUACCUCUGCAAAGUAUUAAUGAGUUCGUCUGCUCUUCUCAAUAGUCUACUUGAAUCCAACACCAUAAUUACCUGACCUAAAUGGUAGCUGUUUUGCUAGUAAUUUCAUAAGGAAUCUUUAAACUGAAUAAUUAUCACAAUUCUGCAUUCCAUGUUUGUCUGUAAUUCAUUUGUGCUUGGUCAGAGAUUUGUUUUACCUUUUAUUUAAACCUGAGUCAAAAUAU